This 307-nucleotide ribosomal RNA is filed under the name uncultured bacterium. Its description in RNAcentral is "partial 16S ribosomal RNA". It matches the Rfam family "Bacterial small subunit ribosomal RNA", at positions 506 to 808 of the family's 1533-position model. The record is from RNAcentral.
AGACAGCAGUAGCCGCGGUAAUACGUAUGUCACAAGCGUUAUCCGGAUUUAUUGGGCGUAAAGCGCGUCUAGGCGGUUAAUUAAGUCCGAUGUGAAAAUGCGGAGCUCAACUCCGUAUUGCGUUGGAAACUGGUUAACUAGAGUACUGGAGAGGUAAGCGGAACUACAAGUGUAGAGGUGAAAUUCGUAGAUAUUUGUAGGAAUGCCGAUGGGGAAGCCAGCUUACUGGACAGAUACUGACGCUAAAGCGCGAAAGCGUGGGUAGCAAACAGGAUUAGAUACCCCGGUAGUCCCUGUCUCUUAUACA